GGCCGUGUGGCGCAAUGGCUAGCGCACCAGCCUUCUAAGCUGGGGGUUGUGGGUUCGACCCCCACCUCGGUCG
RNAcentral lists this transfer RNA (73 nucleotides) under Homolaphlyctis polyrhiza JEL 142. RNAcentral describes it as "tRNA-Arg (TCT) (tRNA-Arg-TCT-1-1)". It matches the Rfam family "tRNA". Rfam says of the family: Transfer RNA (tRNA) molecules are approximately 80 nucleotides in length. Their secondary structure includes four short double-helical elements and three loops (D, anti-codon, and T loops). Lineage: Eukaryota; Fungi; Chytridiomycota; Chytridiomycetes; Rhizophydiales. The record is from RNAcentral.